Molecule: ribosomal RNA, 519 nt
Filed under: uncultured bacterium
Lineage: Bacteria
Description: bacterial SSU rRNA
Rfam family: Bacterial small subunit ribosomal RNA
Source: RNAcentral
AGAGUUUGAUCCUGGCUCAGAUUGAACGCUGGCGGCAUGCCUUACACAUGCAAGUCGAACGGUAACAGGUCUUCGGACGCUGACGAGUGGCGAACGGGUGAGUAAUACAUCGGAGCGUGCCCAGUCGUGGGGGAUAACUACUCGAAAGAGUAGCUAAUACCGCAUACGAUCUGAGGAUGAAAGCGGGGGACCUUCGGGCCUCGCGCGAUUGGAGCGGCCGAUGGCAGAUUAGGUAGUUGGUGGGAUAAAAGCUUACCAAGCCGACGAUCUGUAGCUGGUCUGAGAGGACGACCAGCCACACUGGGACUGAGACACGGCCCAGACUCCUACGGGAGGCAGCAGUGGGGAAUUUUGGACAAUGGGCGAAAGCCUGAUCCAGCAAUGCCGCGUGCAGGAUGAAGGCCUUCGGGUUGUAAACUGCUUUUGUACGGAACGAAAAAGCUUCUCCUAAUACGAGAGGCCCAUGACGGUACCGUAAGAAUAAGCACCGGCUAACUACGUGCCAGCAGCCGCGGUAAU